AACGAGAAGUAGCNUGCUUACUUCGGCGUCGAGCGGCGCCCGGAUGNUGUAAUGCCUAGGAAANUGCNCUGAUGUGGGGGAUAACCAUUGGAAACGAUGGCUAAUACCGCAUAAUGCCUUCGGGCCAAAGAGGGGGACCUUCGGGCCUCUCGCGUCAGGAUAUGCCUAGGUGGGAUUAGCUAGUUGGUGAGGUAAUGGCUCACCAAGGCGACGAUCCCUANCUGGUCUGAGAGGAUGAUCAGNNGNNCUGGAACUGAGACACGGUCCACACUCCUACGGGAGGCAGCAGUGGGGAAUAUUGCACAAUGGGCGCAAGCCUGAUGCAGCCAUGCCGCGUGUAUGAAGAAGGCCUUCGGGUUGUAAAGUACUUUCAGCAGUGAGGAAGGGGUGUACGUUAAUAGCGUGCAUCCUUGACGUUAGCUGCAGAAGAAGCACCGGCUAACUCCGUGCCAGCAGCCGCGGUAAUACGGAGGGUGCGAGCGUUAAUCGGAAUUACUGGGCGUAAAGCGCAUGCAGGUGGUUCGUUAAGUCAGAUGUGAAAGCCCGGGGCUCAACCUCGGAACUGCAUUUGAAACUGGCGGGCUANAGUACUGUANAGGGGGGUAGAAUUNCAGGGUGUANCGGUGAAAUGCGUANANAUCUNNAAGGANUACCNNUGGCNAAGGCGGNCCCCCUNNACANAUACNUGACCUCNNAAUNCNAAAGCCUNNGGACCNAACA
Molecule: ribosomal RNA, 720 nt
Filed under: Vibrio tapetis
Lineage: Bacteria; Pseudomonadati; Pseudomonadota; Gammaproteobacteria; Vibrionales; Vibrionaceae
Description: partial 16S ribosomal RNA
Rfam family: Bacterial small subunit ribosomal RNA
Source: RNAcentral